AGCCGUGUCUAAGUUAGAGGCCCAAUUGAGUCAAUUAGCUAGCGCGUUAUGUGAGCGAGAAAAGAACAAGUUGCCAAGUCAACCCGAGGUAAAUCCUAAGUUUCCUCUCAAUCAAAGACCUCACGAGAAUGUUAAUUCAAUUAUCUCUCUAAGGUCGGGAAACCAAGUAGAUAACAAAGUUGGUGAGAACGUUAAUGAAAAUGAGGAGUCAAUGCCUAAAUCGAACCCUUCUUUGUCAAGCCAUGUUUAUGAUAAGCCCGAAU
Molecule: long non-coding RNA, 263 nt
Filed under: Daucus carota (carrot)
Lineage: Eukaryota; Viridiplantae; Streptophyta; Magnoliopsida; Apiales; Apiaceae
Description: long non-coding RNA (DCAR_LNC005462)
Source: RNAcentral